Molecule: ribosomal RNA, 218 nt
Filed under: Musa coccinea
Lineage: Eukaryota; Viridiplantae; Streptophyta; Magnoliopsida; Zingiberales; Musaceae
Description: partial 26S ribosomal RNA
Rfam family: Eukaryotic large subunit ribosomal RNA
Source: RNAcentral
GUCAGGUGGGGCUACCCGCUGAGUUUAAGCAUAUAAAUAAGCGGAGGAGAAGAAACUUACGAGGAUUCCCUUAGUAACGGCGAGCGAACCGGGAUCAGCCCAGCUUGAGAAUCGGGCGGCCGCGCCGUCCGAAUUGUAGUCUGGAGAAGCGUCCUCAGCGACGGACCGGGCCCAAGUCCCCUGGAAAGGGGCGCCGGGGAGGGUGAGAGCCCCGUCCG